RNAcentral lists this ribosomal RNA (465 nucleotides) under uncultured Neisseria sp. Its description in RNAcentral is "bacterial SSU rRNA". It matches the Rfam family "Bacterial small subunit ribosomal RNA", at positions 338 to 795 of the family's 1533-position model. Lineage: Bacteria; Pseudomonadati; Pseudomonadota; Betaproteobacteria; Neisseriales; Neisseriaceae. The record is from RNAcentral.
CCUACGAGAGGCAGCAGUGGGGAAUUUUGGACAAUGGGCGCAAGCCUGAUCCAGCCAUGCCGCGUGUCUGAAGAAGGCCUUCGGGUUGUAAAGGACUUUUGUCAGGGAAGAAAAGGCUGUUGCUAAUAUCGACAGUUGAUGACGGUACCUGAAGAAUAAGCACCGGCUAACUACGUGCCAGCAGCCGCGGUAAUACGUAGGGUGCGAGCGUUAAUCGGAAUUACUGGGCGUAAAGCGAGCGCAGACGGUUACUUAAGCAGGAUGUGAAAUCCCCGGGCUCAACCUGGGAACUGCGUUCUGAACUGGGUGACUAGGGUGUGUCAGAGGGAGGUAGAAUUCCACGUGUAGCAGUGAAAUGCGUAGAGAUGUGGAGGAAUACCGAUGGCGAAGGCAGCCUCCUGGGAUAACACUGACGUUCAUGCUCGAAAGCGUGGGUAGCAAACAGGAUUAGAUACCCUGGUAGUC